This 456-nucleotide ribosomal RNA is filed under the name uncultured marine bacterium. Its description in RNAcentral is "partial 16S ribosomal RNA". It matches the Rfam family "Bacterial small subunit ribosomal RNA", at positions 360 to 804 of the family's 1533-position model. The record is from RNAcentral.
AAUAUUGCACAAUGGGGGGCAAAGCUUGAUGCAGCCAUGCCGCGUGUGGGGAGGGAGGGCCAUAAGAUUGUAAAGCACUUUCAAUGGGAGAAAAAAAUUAAUGUCCAUUACCCAUUAGUCUUAACGUUACCUUUAGAAGAAGCACCGGUUAACUCCGUGCCAGCAGCCGCGGUAAUACGGAGGGUGCAAGCGUUAUUUGGAAUUAUUGGGGGUAAAGCGCACGUAGGGGGUUUGUUCAUUUGGAUGUGAAAGCCCCGGGCUUAACCUGGGAAUUGCAUUCAAUUUUGCCAGAUUUGAGUACGAGAGAGGGGGGUAGAAUUUCUAGUGUAGCGGUGAAAUGCGUAGAUAUUAGAAGGAAUCCCAGUGGGGAAGGCGGCCCCCUGGCUCGAUACUGACGGUGAGGUGGGAAAGCGUGGGGAACUAGCAGGAUUAGAUACCCUGGUAGUCCACGCCGUA